RNAcentral lists this ribosomal RNA (253 nucleotides) under uncultured bacterium. RNAcentral describes it as "partial 16S ribosomal RNA". It matches the Rfam family "Bacterial small subunit ribosomal RNA", at positions 524 to 776 of the family's 1533-position model. The record is from RNAcentral.
UACGAAGGGUGCAAGCGUUGCUCGGAAUUAUUGGGCGUAAAGAGCUCGUAGGCGGCCUGUUGCGUCCGCUGUGAAAUCCCGGGGCUCAACCCCGGGCGUGCAGUGGAUACGGGCUGGCUGGAGGCAGGCAGGGGAGAACGGAAUUCCUGGUGUAGCGGUGAAAUGCGCAGAUAUCAGGAGGAACACCGGUGGCGAAGGCGAUUCUCUGGGCCUGUACUGACGCUGAGGAGCGAAAGCGUGGGGAGCGAACAGG